This 619-nucleotide ribosomal RNA is filed under the name Iridogorgia splendens. RNAcentral describes it as "eukaryotic LSU rRNA". It matches the Rfam family "Eukaryotic large subunit ribosomal RNA", at positions 402 to 821 of the family's 3401-position model. Lineage: Eukaryota; Metazoa; Cnidaria; Anthozoa; Scleralcyonacea; Chrysogorgiidae. The record is from RNAcentral.
AAACCGUUGGAAGGGAAGCGAAUGGAGUCGGCAAUUCGCCUUUUCAGAUUCAACCCCUCGCCUGCUGCGACGUGCUGUCUCGCGACCUGUCGCCAGGCGUGGUUCGUGCGGCCGCAGUACGCAGGUGGUGCACUUCCGACGGGCGAGUGUCAACGUCAGUCGACGGCGAGCAAAGGGGCCGCGAGUACGGUAGGUCCUUCGGGCCCGGUAUGUCUCGCGCGCACGUGGCUCGCACCAGACUGUCUUCUGUCGCAGUGCGUGCCGCCCUUCGCGGGGCGGCUGCUGCCUUUGUUGUUGGCCUGGCGAUGCUGUCGAGCGGACGGCUUCGCCUGUGCGUUUGUAGCGCCGCUGACCAACCGACGGAGAACGCAGACACGACGCGCUGAGGACGUUGAUCGCCUUACGUCUCCAUCCGACCCGUCUUGAAACACGGACCAAGGAGUCUAACAUGUGCGCAAGUCUCAGGGUGAUCGAAACCCGUGGGCUCAAUGAAAGUGAAUGCCGCCUCGGCUGCAGAGAUGAGAAGCAAGCGGAUUCGCGUCCGUAGCGCUACAUCAUCGACCGACCUGUUCUACUCUUAGAAAGGUUCGAGUUAGAGCGUGCCUGUUGGGACCCGAAA